AGUGUCAUUAAGGCACUUAAUUCAAAAUUCAAUUGAAGAGUUUGAUCAUGGCUCAGAUUGAACGCUGGCGGUAACUUUUAAACAUGCAAGUCGAGCGGUAACAGACAUA
Molecule: ribosomal RNA, 109 nt
Filed under: Gammaproteobacteria bacterium
Lineage: Bacteria; Pseudomonadati; Pseudomonadota; Gammaproteobacteria
Description: partial 16S ribosomal RNA
Source: RNAcentral